CGAAGCACCGCGUCAAGUAUAACGGCCGGGGAGAACCCUGGGAGACGUUCUAAAGAUAGAUAACGCGUGACCGCGGCGAUUGCGAUCGGGAAUCGCAUCUCUCGUCGGCGCGUUUUCGCGCGACGAUGAGUCGCGCGUGACGCGCACGAACAUCGACGGCGAACGAUCGAACACGGCGAUCGAGGACGCGCUCGCCGAGUGUUUCUUCAACGCUUCGGCGCGAAGAGAAGGAAGAAGAUCGCGUUCUUCUUUCGCGUCUGUCGCGAAAACGCGUCGCAAAAAGACCGAAAGCGGAUAAGCGAAGGAACGGUCGUUUUGCGGUGAAAAACGUCGUAGAUGAAACGCGCGAAUCGAUUGCUAGUGAAAAGCACCGGAGAGAGGAAGGCAAAUCGCAAGGCACUGCUCUCCGCAAAUUGUUACACGAUUCCUGAUCUCCGUUAAUCCUUUCGACGGAAAGCGAUCGAAUGUCGUUCGUGCAUAACUUUUCCGCGCGACGGAAAUUGAUAGAGACGUGAAAGAGAAAGAGCGAGAGAGAGAGAGAGAGAGACAGACAGAGAGUUUCAGUGAUACACCUUGCGGCAACGUGUGCUGGUGCGUCGUAUCGUUAUAUGUAUACUGGUUAAUGUCCCGGAGAUCGAGGAACCCGAAGAUAUGGAGGCGUGACUGUUCGCGCACUCGCUCCAGAACGCGUCAGCAAAUGGACUGCACACAAGCUGAUGGAAGUUUCGAGUAAUUCGAGAGACGAUUUCGUCGACGAGUAAAAAAUGCCAGGCACGUAAAAAAAAAAAAAAAAGAAAAAGAAAAGCGUUAAAACUUGCGAGCAGUUAACGAGAUCCCGAAGACACGGGAUCUUCAACGACGAACAGACGUAAUUUGCGCGUUUAAUGGCACACAGAAAUCUUGUUAUGAGAGAGAGAGAGAUAGAUAGAUAGAUAGAUAGAGAGAAAACAAAAAAAAAUCAGAAGAAUCCUUAGAGAGCGCGGUCGCAACGAAUGAAACGCGAGAUGGAAACACGAUAAACACGGAACAAAAAGCAAAGAAAAUUUAUUAACAAUAGGAAACGGAUAGAGAGAGUGCGGAGGAAGCGAGCGACCGAGAACUCUGGGCUCGAAUAUUGAAAAACAGAGCGGGCAAAAAGAAAGAAGAAAGAGAGAAAGACAGAAAGAAAGUAGAGUAGAGAGAAAAUUAGAUGAGAUUGCCGGAGGAAGACAAUUACAGGUAUCGUCGGCGAGAAAAUAAGAAAGCGCGAUCUGAUAUAUAGAGCACCGCUGGGAAAGGUGAAAAAAAAAAAAAAAAAAAAAAAAUUCGACGGCGAGAGAUCGACGAGGCGAGAAGUGGCGCGCGGAAAUCACCCCCGGUGGAAAGAAGAAAAUUCGGUGAAGAUUUACGUCGAAAGACGUAAGUGGAAGAGAGACCGGACAGAUGAACUCGCGCGGCGCAAAACUCUUCAAGGAAGAUCUCGACGACACCGUUUUCUAAACGAGGGAUAGAAUAAUUCCUCGGUAUCGAACGAGGGAGAUGAGAACAGAGAAGGAGGGUGAAUUAACGAGCAUAUGGAAAUCGUUGUCUUUAAUUAGAAGCGAAGAGAAACAGACACGCAUCAGGCGUAAAGACACAUCGGAAAACGCGAGAUACUGGAUUCGUGCGAAUCAAGACGGACGAUCCGAAGAAGCUCACUUUGUUCAUCUUCGCGCGCUCUCGUCAGCAAUGGCGAACGAAUCGUUCACGGAUGAGCAGUUUUGACGCGACCUAAAGCGCGCGCACGUGCCGCCGAGCACUCUCGCAUAUACUGACGAGAUACGCGGAUGCGAGUCCUUUUUCUGGCCGUGUAUCGACCCCUCGAGAGAAGAAGAGAGAGAGAGAGAAAAGUUCGCGCGAAUAAGAUAAGCCGUUUUAAUCGCUCGCUCUUGGCAACCACGUCGAAACAUUCGACGGUUUGAAAACGCGCAACGACGGACAUACUCUCUCUCGAAGCAAAUUUUUUCCGACCACGUGGUGCACUCUGUGUUCAGGAAUAUACAAAAAAAAAAAAAAAAAA
Pseudomyrmex gracilis is the source of this 2038-nucleotide long non-coding RNA. RefSeq lists it as uncharacterized. Lineage: Eukaryota; Metazoa; Arthropoda; Insecta; Hymenoptera; Formicidae. The record is from RefSeq and is a predicted model, not a curated record. The transcript is spliced from 2 exons.